CGCAGCAUUUAGCAACAUUCCAGCAAUAUCACGGCGGGGGACACCAGAAAUGGGCUUCACACUUUGUACCCAUGUCUGGAAUCGAACCCGGGUCUUCGGCGUGACGAGCCAACGCUUUAACCACUAG
This is a long non-coding RNA of Haliotis rubra (blacklip abalone), 127 nucleotides long. RefSeq lists it as uncharacterized. The record is from RefSeq and is a predicted model, not a curated record. NCBI's taxonomy places the organism in Eukaryota, Metazoa, Mollusca, Gastropoda, Lepetellida, Haliotidae. The transcript is spliced from 3 exons.